Molecule: ribosomal RNA, 373 nt
Filed under: uncultured bacterium
Lineage: Bacteria
Description: bacterial SSU rRNA
Rfam family: Bacterial small subunit ribosomal RNA
Source: RNAcentral
GAACCGUACGAACGUUAUUCGGAAUUACUGGGCUUAAAGGGUUUGUAGGCGGCCAUGUAAGUCAGGUGUGAAAUCCCUCGGCUCAACCGAGGAACGGCGCUUGAUACUGCAUGGCUUGAGGGAGACAGGGGUAAGCGGAACUGAUGGUGGAGCGGUGAAAUGCGUUGAUAUCAUCAGGAACACCGGUGGCGAAAGCGGCUUACUGGGUCUCUUCUGACGCUGAGGAACGAAAGCUAGGGUAGCGAACGGGAUUAGAUACCCCGGUAGUCCUAGCUGUAAACGAUGAGCACUUAUCUGGGGACCCUCCCAUAGGUUCCCGGAUGUAGCGAAAGUGUUAAGUGCUCCGCCUGGGGAGUAUGGUCGCAAGGCUGAA